Molecule: non-coding RNA, 436 nt
Filed under: uncultured Prevotella sp.
Lineage: Bacteria; Pseudomonadati; Bacteroidota; Bacteroidia; Bacteroidales; Prevotellaceae
Source: RNAcentral
CUGCCUCGCCGAAAUAUUCGCCAUCGCCCAACAGAGCAAUCCGUAAGUCCUCGCCGUGAGGGCCUUUGCUGAUGACCUCAGCCUGUCCGCUGGCUACGAUGAAGAAACGCUGCUUGUCCUUGCCCUCCUCUACGAAGAGUUUAUCGACAUCCACCUCUUUUGCCUCAAAUGAACUGACGAGGCGGUUCAAGAUCUCGUCAUCGAACUCAGAGAACAGGGGAAUGGCUUUCAGGUUCUUUGCCGUAAACGACGGCACGCCGUUGACGUAUUGGAUGGGCAGUCGAUCGUUUUUGCGUAACUCAACCUUUGUGCGGUUCACGCGGAAUGUUCCGCCACUGACCUGUACCCAGGGAAGGAGUUUCAGGAGUAAUCUCGGAGUGAUACUGCCCAUCUGCGGGGCGGUCUUGGUAGUGGUUGCCAGUCUUUUGGCGGUAGC